Molecule: long non-coding RNA, 4903 nt
Organism: Beta vulgaris subsp. vulgaris (sugar beet)
Lineage: Eukaryota; Viridiplantae; Streptophyta; Magnoliopsida; Caryophyllales; Amaranthaceae
Exons: 2
Source: RefSeq, a predicted model, not a curated record
AGUUAAGCUAAUUUGAUUAUAUCAUGCAGCAAAAAGUAAAGGAGAUGUGGCUUUCCUUGAAUCAAAACCCAAGCAACACAAGAGGAAGGAGAGGAAUUAGUGGGCUAAAGCCCAAUGGUGCCAAGUAAUAUCACACAUACAUCAAAGGAAAAAAGAAGAAAAAGAAAACCCUUUUUGCUUGGAUCCAUACGCAGCAGAAGGAGGUUGAGAAAGGAAGGGAAGAUGGGCUUUAAUUAAGACCCACAGAACGACAAUAAUAGGAGGCACGAAGGGGAGAACAAUUGGACAAGGAAGGAGACGAAGCAGAGGACGGCGGCAACAGUACAUCACGGGGUUCGAAGCCUCAAGCAGAAUUCCAGUCAUUAUCUUUCAUGUUUGGGUGAUGUUUUCUCUAAUUUUGAGUAGCUAAUUUCCCAAUUCUAGGGCUUAUAUGAAACCCUAUUAAUAUGAAUUGAUUGUUUAGUUUUGUUUGAGAAUUAAUCUAUGGUUUAUGAUUGCAUAACUCUUAAGAUUAUUAUUGGGUUUAUCAUUGUUUGCAAUAUAGAUUGGUAAUUGUUCUUGUAGAAUGAUUUAUUAGUUUGUAUUAUUAUUAGAUUUACACACUUUGUUCUGGUAGUUCAAAUGGUGAUAUUAUGCUAUGGUAUUUCAUGAUUUGUGAUUGAAAAGUUGAAUAAUUUGUGCUUUGUUUAGAUAGGUUAAGUCAGCUAAUCAAUCACAACACUAUUUUAUUUAAAUUAUUCCCUGCUUGUAGUUUAGAGAGCUUGAUAAACCAAUUAAUUCUCAUUCAAAUGAAACUAUUAGUCUUAUUAUUAGUGGUGGAUUCGACUAUCCUAGAUUUCACAUUAUUGUCUUUUUCCCAAUUUAAUUUUGUUAUUUUCAAGUUAUUUAGUUUACUUUAAAUUUUAGUUAACAAUAAUUAGUUCAAAAUCAAAUCAUUAUAUCACUAUUUAGGAUAAAGUUAGUAGACAUUAUAUUUUUCACUACCCUAUUAUUUUUCACUAACUACUAAGUCUUGUACACUUGCAAGAAUAGGGUUUUAUACUAAGUCUUAAAGUGUUAUUAGGUUUUUUUUUUUAUUUCUUAAUUUAGCUAUUUUUAGUUUAUAGCUAGAGUUCAAUUAUUUCAAUUUGAGGGAGAAGUGUUUUGGAGGUACAUUGAGAGACUUAAAGAUUUUCUUACUCGAUUCAUAAACCAUCAUUUAGAAAAAUGGGAAGUAUGCCAAACAAUUUAUGAGGGCGUUAAUGAUGAGUCUAGAUGCAUUAUGGAGGUAAUGUUUGAUGGGGCCUUUAUGUCUCAAACCGUAGAUGAGGCUUGGAGUCUCUUUGAGUGGUUUAUACAAGAAACUUAUGAUUGGGAGUCGACUAUGCAUUUUAAUUUAUAUGAUCGACCUUUACCAGCUCGACCACCCUCUAUGAGUUUUCCUUUCAAUGAACCUCAUGCAAAUAAUUUACCUUCAUACCAACCUGAUGUUCAAGUUUCGAGUUCCAAUCAUGAUCUUGGGAUUAUCUUCUCUACUAUUAAAGAUCUUUCUAAGAAAGUAGAGGAGAUAAAUAUUGGCUUAGAGGGUGUAAAUAAUGGAAGGAUCUCUUUGCGAGAUUCUAAUGAAAUAGUUAGUGCGCCUUAUCCCCCAUAUUCACCAUAUUAUGUGGAAGAAUUAGAAAAACAAGAGCAAUUUUCUCCUCAAACAUUCCCAACCCAUGAUGAAGUUUUUUUUGAGGAAAAUAAUGAGGAGUGUUAUGAUUUUGCACCACCGUUUUAUAUUGAGCAGGAUUGUAGUUCAGUCAAGUUAGAUGAUUUUGGGGUAAACAUGAUUUCCGAUGUGGAUGAUAUUGAGCUUAAGUUACCAAUUGAGCAAGAAAGGUGAAUCAAUUUCGGAGAUAAUAAAGAGAAUGUCACUAAGAUUUUUUAUACUUUACUUAUGAGUUUAGAUAAUUUUCAGCAUAAUGAUAAUAUUUCACCUCAUUAUAGGGAAACAACUUCUCUUAUGGGUGAUGAAAAAAAACGCCUUAAGGAAUUAGAAGAGUCACCCCUAGAAGUGCUUAGAUCUUGCAUUGAUUUAGAGGAAACUACUGAAUCAAUACUCAAUAGGUGCAUCAGAGCAAGCUGAUUUUAACUCACUUAAUAACAAUAUAAUAGUUCAUGAUUCUAUAGUGUCACACUCUUGUCCUCAUACUGUUAGGCUUAGUUCCCCUUGUAAUCACCCAAAAUUCUGCAUUAUAGGACCUAAUUACCCACAAAUGUGUGAUGGUUAUUGUCUAAAUCACGAGAUUGGUUAAACCAACUGAAGUUUUCAAAGAAGCAAAGAACAAUAUUGAGGUAACUCUAGAUGAUCUUCAAGGUUAUAGUCUCCCUAAUGUCUAGCUAUAAGUUAUAUCAGUUAGACCACCAAUGCAAGUUCACUACUUUCUCCAAUAUUUGUCGUUAUAACUUUAAUAAUCUAUUAAGGGUCAUAUAUUUCUUAGCUCUUUGUACACUCUCUUAUGCUUACAUAUGAUUUUCUGAGUUCUAUGAUCAAUCUUAUGACAAGCUUCUUCGAUCUUUGAUGGGGUAUGAUUUAACUUACUAAAUUCGAUUAGAGUGGUUGAUGCUCUAUCUCCAUUUCCAUUUUCUUACUUAGUCUAGUGUAUGCCUUUCUUCAUCCUGGUUAACUGUUUGCCAUUGUUCAUUUUUAUUCUGUUUUCUUUUGGGGUUUAAUAUAUUGUUUUUGUUAUCUUUAUCUAUAUGCUAUGAAUAAGUUACUACAGUUGAUUUUAUUGUGCACACAACAGGGCCAUUAAUGCAGAAGCAUGUAUUCUACACGAACUUCGAGAAAUGCAAUGUCGCACCCAUAUCAAUUGUACUCCUGCUACUGCCUGUUUCAUUCUUCAUUCUGGCUGCUGUUUGUCGUCUUUCUGUCCAGCGUCUAGUACUAUUGUUACAACUUCUCCGACUAGGAACUAAGUGUGGGGGAGAGGAGAUUUCGGUGCAAUUUUUUUUAUUGUUUGGUGUAUGUUGCUGUUGUUUGGUGUUGGUUCACUGGCUAGCUGCUUUGUGGGAAGAAUAUUAGUGCUUUACAGCCUUACAGGUUUAUUUUAUGGCAUAUAAUUGCUGGGUUGUCCUAUUUAUGGGGAGGUGUUGCCCAAAUUUUUCAUAAAUUUUAAGGGAAAACUUUUAAGUUUAUAUAUGUUAUUACGUGUCUAUUUGAGGGUAUAUUAUACACCGUUCAUUUUCAUCUCAUAGAUGAGCAGCUUGUUAAUGAGAAUAAUUGAUAAUAGGCUCUAAUGUAAUAACGUUUUACUCAAAUUCCGUUUUAUUACAUAAUUUUUUUUUUUAAGCUUUGAAUGUGAUGGCUUUAACUCUUGCAACCUAUCAAUGUACCUUAAUAAUGAUCAUUCUUAUUGGUAAUCUAGCACACUUUCUUCAUUGGCUAAGAUGCGGAGUAUGGAGGAAGGACUUUUAUACCUUAAUGUACCUAAUUAAUACCUAUACUUAUCUUGGUGAUCUUUCACUGCUCUUGGUUACUGGAGAUUUACUUGACUUUGUUAAAAAAAUAGAGGGAAUAAUCAUGGUUCAGAAAAACAAGGGAUUAGUAAUCCAAAUUAUCAAAAUUGUGAGAAUGUGAACCACUAUAAAAAAAAGAGUGAAAAAAAAAUAUUGUAUUUCCAAAAAGGAAACUGAAAAAAAAAGCAUAUAAAAACCUAAAGAGCAAAGCAAACAACAAAGUAUCGAGUACUCCUUUGAGAUCAUUGGGUGGCAAGUGCAAUGUCAUAUGAAACAGACGAUCCAUGUACGGGUACUAAGUGCUUCUUGUACGGAAAAGUAUGUGGGAACCAACUGAAACAAUAAUCAAGUCUAACCAAAGUACCUCGUAUUCGAACGUCAAUACACUUGCACAUGAGCACCUAGAUUACUUAUGAGAUCAAACUAAUUUUAUUAUAAAGGUUGCUUGAGAAUAAAAGUUAGUAGCGUUCAUAGCUUGCUAACACAACACAAAUGUUUUUAUGGCUAACUUUUAAAUUCUUUUAAAACAAAAUUGUUUUAGCCUAUUGUUAAACUCUCAUUACUUUGGUUUUUUCCCUGAGAGAUGGUGCAGUGAUAUGACCCAAGUUGGUCUUGAGUGAUAUUGGAUAUUGGUUCAAUAUUUUCUUUGCUCGAGGACUAGCAAAGUUAAAGUGUGGGGGAGUUGAUAAGUGUUAAUUAUUAUAUAUUAUAACCUCUUUAGUCCCACUUACUAGCUCUCUAUUAGUAUUUAUAAGUUGUGGGUUUUAAUCGUUUUAAUAGGUUAUCGAAGUAAUUGUGUUUAAUGAUUAUUUAUUAAUUUGACCUAUAUCAUAUUUUAUACUAGCAAUAAUUUAUCAAACGUUAGCAGGUACAUUAUAAUUUUAAAGUCAAAGAAAUGAAUAUUAGCCUUAGCAAUUUUAUGAGUUAAGCUAAUUUGAUUAUAUCAUGCAGCAAAAAGUAAAGGAGAUGUGGCUUUCCUUGAAUCAAAACCCAAGCAACACAAGAGGAAGGAGAGGAAUUAGUGGGCUAAAGCCCAAUGGUGCCAAGUAAUAUCACACAUACAUCAAAGGAAAAAGAAGAAAAAGAAAACCCUUUUUGCUUGGAUCCAUACGCAGCAGAAGGAGGUUGACAAAGGAAGGGAAGAUGGGCUUUAAUUAAGACCCACAGAACGACAAUAAUAGGAGGCACGAAGGGGAGAACAAUUGGACGAGGAAGGAGACGAAGCAGAGGACGGCGACAACAUUACAUCACGGGGUUCGAAGCCUCAAGCAGAAUUCCAGUCAUUAUCUUUCAUGUUUGGGUGAUGUUUUCUCUAAUUUUGAGUAGCUAAUUUCCCAAUUCUAGGGCUUAGAUGAAACCCUAUUAAUAUGAAUUGAUUGUUUAGUUUUGUUUGAGAAUUAAACUAUGGUUUAUGAUUGCAUAA